RNAcentral lists this ribosomal RNA (114 nucleotides) under uncultured eukaryote. RNAcentral's name for it is "partial small subunit ribosomal RNA". It matches the Rfam family "Bacterial small subunit ribosomal RNA", at positions 1412 to 1525 of the family's 1533-position model. The record is from RNAcentral.
GAUCAUAACCAGAAGCAGCCGAGCUAACCGCAAGGAGGCAGGCUACCAAGGUUGUGGGCAUGAUUGGGGUGAAGUCGUAACAAGGUAGCCGUAGGUGAACCUGCAGAAGGAUCA